AAUCUGCUCCUCAGCACAGCACGGUGGCUGGCCGGCCCCCCGUAGGAAGGCUUGGGGUUAAAAUCGACUUAGGAUGCCGCCCUUAUAAUAACUGGGAGAUGAAACAGGAAGCUCUAUGACACACUUGAUCGAAUAUGACAGACACCGAAAAUCACGACUCAGCCCCCUCCAGCACCUCUACCUGUUGCCCGCCGAUCACAGCCGGAAUGCAGCUGAAAGAUUCCCUGGGGCCUGGUUCCAACCGCCCACUGUGGACUCUGAGGCCUCUGCAUUUGCGGGUGGUCUGCCUGUGAUAUUUUGGUCAUGGGCUGGUCUGGUCGGUUUCCCAUUUGUCUGGCCAGUCUCUAUGUGUCUUAAUCCCUUGUCCUUCAUUAAAAGCAAAACUAAAGAAAACAGAAUUGUUUGCUUAUUAGCUAUCUUUAAACGCUGUUUGAAAGGAUAUCGAAUAGUGUUUGAGGGAACCCUGGCACGUCCACACAGCUCAUCUGACAUGUUUAAAUGUGUGUUGGGCUUGACUCUCUCAUAACUCAGCCACGCUUGCCUUGCUGCUUCUCAUACCUCUCCAGAUUGCUGUAGAGUCAGUGUGGGCAGACUGACAUUUGAGAGAAACGUCGGGCUUCAUCUGGAAGCCUCUUUCCACACCCACCCUGAUCGUGGCCUGUAAACUGUGGCCCCAAGAUCUCCAUUAACCUUGGGCUUUCCACUAGAGACAUCUGCCAUCUCUGCUGCCUCCCUCCCCUCACACAUCCUUUACUGCUUCACUUAUUCAUCCCAUAAGGAUUUCUUAGGGGCCUGCUGUGUGCUGGUUCUGGAGACAAAACAGUGGAUGGGACCAACUCAGCCCCGGUCCCCACCCAGCACCUCUAGCCAAGUCUGAGUGGGCUCUGCUGAAGAAGUGUUGGGUGCAGUGCACAGUUCAUCAUGGUCGAUGGCUCCAUCCCAUUUCACUUAGAUGCCCCGAUUUCCUAAAUGCUUUCUUGAACUCUGACACUCUGGGACUGGCACCUGAACAGUCUAUAAAACGGUGAAAUGUCGAAGCAUUCCUGCUGUGUAAUCCCACUCUCUUCCCCAACCUCAAGCAGGACAAUUUGACCCCCUCCUGAGGACAUGGCCAGACAGGCCAUUAGUAGAAGCCUUCCAGAACUUUCUGGCAAUCUUCACUUUUAAGCUUAGCAAACAUCUAAGAAUAAUUUUAAAUGGCCAUGUUUACUCUUUUGUACUUGUUGGAAUUAGUUUACCAAUAGGCCAUGAUGGUGAUCACAAAACCCCCUAUGUACAUGCACAGUGUUCAUUGCAAUGCAUAUCCAGGUCUCAACCCAAUGUCCCUUUCUCAAGGAGAAUUCCCUGAGCACCAUGUCGUGAGAGAACCCUCCUUCCUCCCCACCAUUUCUCUCUAUCUUGUGAUUUUAUUUUAUUUUAUUCAUAGACUUAUCAUUAUCAGCACUUAUCCUGAAUGUUCAAUUAUCAUCUGUCUGUCUCUCACUCCACUCCCAAAAGGCAGACUGUGGUCUGUCUUAUUUCCCGGUCUGUCCCCAGCGUUUGAGAUCCGAGC
This 1552-nucleotide long non-coding RNA is filed under the name Homo sapiens (human). RNAcentral describes it as "non-protein coding CYTOR:111". Lineage: Eukaryota; Metazoa; Chordata; Mammalia; Primates; Hominidae. The record is from RNAcentral.